UCUUACUUAUUUGUGUCUGACUAUCUAUGUUAUUAUUUGUUUGCAUUGGGAUAUCAACUAAUUUUUGUGUUUGAAUUACUCCUGAGUUUUCAUGAGUUGUUCCUACGUUGCUUCUAGAUUGAUCUUGAACAACUCUUGGGUUGUUCUAAUUUUCUUCUUGAUUAACCACCAUUUCUUUGAUUAGGUUACCCCAAGGUAGUCCUACCAUUAUAUU
Molecule: long non-coding RNA, 214 nt
Filed under: Zostera marina
Lineage: Eukaryota; Viridiplantae; Streptophyta; Magnoliopsida; Alismatales; Zosteraceae
Description: long non-coding RNA (ZMAR_LNC005353)
Source: RNAcentral